Molecule: long non-coding RNA, 1582 nt
Organism: Camelus dromedarius (Arabian camel)
Lineage: Eukaryota; Metazoa; Chordata; Mammalia; Artiodactyla; Camelidae
Exons: 3
Source: RefSeq, a predicted model, not a curated record
UGUUGGCCCGUCGCAUCUCCGGCCCCUCGCUCCGGUGCGGGGCCCCCGCCACCGACACCCUCAUUCCCCGGGCGAGGCGCGGAGCCCCCUCACCGGCUCGCGGAGAGGUGGGACGCGUCCCGACCCAGCUGUCCAGACAAGUCCGGGAGGGACGGAAAUGAGAACCAGUCACUGUGCGAGCACAGACUACAGAGAGAUGGCUUCACCAGAAGGAAUGGAAGAUUUUUUUUAAAGUAGACAACAGAGGGCAUUCCAAUAGAUGGAACCACUUAUGCAAAGAGGGUCCUGAGGAUUGAACCCAGAACCUCACACAUGCUAAACAUGCGCUCUACCACUGGAGCUGUACCCUCCCCUGAGCCACACCGUUCUGCUCCCCUGCUCCCCGGGACAACAUCUGGUACCAGCUUCCUGCAUAUCCUUCCAGAAAGUCUCUGCAUUGUCAAGUACACACAUGUGUGUAUACACACAGGCAUUUAUAGAUAAUUUUUCUAUACAAAGAACAGAAUACUACUGCAUCUUGCUUUCUUCACUUUAAAAUAGAUUUUGGAGAUCUUUCCAUUUUUAUUUAUUCUUUUAUUCUUUCACUUGACAAGUAUUUAUGGCGUGCCUACUGUAUGUCAGGCAUACUUAGGUGGUGAGGAUUGUAGCAAUGGGCAGAAUAGGUAAAAUCUCUGUCUUCAUGGAACUUAUAUUCUAGUAGAAGUGGUACAGGAAAGCAGACAAAACCCAAAUAAACAAUGAAAUAUAUACAGUAUGCCAGAUGGUGAUACGUACUAUGGGGAAAAAUAAAGCGGCAUCCUGGGAGGGCAGAGGUGGGAGAGUGGCCGCAGUGGUUACAGAAGAGAUGGAGACAGAGAGAUCCUGUUUCUUCUUGGUCCAGAAGCACUCUAUCAGAUGAAUAUACCAUAAUUUGUUUAAUCAGUCCCCUACUGAUAGAAAUUUACCUUGUUUCUAAUAUUUUGCUGUUAGAAGGAUGCAAUUUUUGCCCACAUGCCAUUUGACACAUCCAAGAGUAUAUGUGCAGCUUAAAUUCCUAAAAGAGGACUUGCCAUUUCAAAGAGUCUGUGCAGUUUUAAUUUUAUGAGAUAUUGCCAAAUUCCUCUCCGAAGAGUACCAGUUUACUGACCUUUCAGCAAUGAAAGAGAGGGCCCUGUCUUCAACAACACUGUGUGUGGUCAAGAUUCAUGAUGCUUGCCUAUCUGAUAAGUAAACCAUGAAAUCUUAUAAGUCUAAUUUGCAUUCACUUUUUAUGACUGAAGUUGAGUGUCUUCCCACUGUUUAAAGGCCAUUUUUAUAUCUUGUAAACUGUCUAUUUAUAUCCUUUGCCAGAUUUUCUAUUAUGUAUGUGAGGUGGGGGAGGGGGCUGGUUGUUUUGUUUUCUUUCAUUUCUAACUUGUGGAAACUCUUUUCAGUAAAGAAUUUAUAUCCUGUUUGGGAUGUGAGUAGCAAAUAUUUAACCCAAUUUGUCAUUUCUCUUUUGACUGUGUUGAUAAUAAAUGGCUUUUGUGAUACAGAACAUUUUUAUUAUUAUGCAGUCCAAUUAAACCAUCUUUUUAAUGGCUUCAAAAACUAUUAUUCUUUU